GUGGCGCGGGGAGCGGGCGGCGCACGGUUGGCCGUCCGCGGCUGUGGGAGCGGGCGAGGCCGAGUGGGCGGCUGGCGGAGCGGCGAGGCCGGCCGCGGCUCUUUGUCUGCCUCGGCCCAAAAUGGCUGCAUGUUUCCCUGCUGCUCCCUGCGUCCGGGUCUCCCCCGCCGGCGCGAGUCUGAAGGGCGCCCCACACCUGUGCCAGCUGCGUGUAACUGAUCCACCGGCUGGGCGCGGGGGGGGAACGGAGGGCGGAGGGUAGCCGGGCCCCACGCCCAGCCUCGGGCGGGGGCAACGGGACGAGGAGGAGCGCGCCGGCCCCUGCGCCUUGCUCAGCCCCUGUUAAAGUUAGGCUGCCCCGGAGUGCUGUCCGACCGAGCACUGCAGUCCCUCCAUGCAGCCCUGCCACCCGGGUCGCGGGGGCGGGAGCCGCCCGACCUGUGUCAGGCGCGGUGGCUGCAGACUUCCCUCCGCGGCCUGAGCAGCCUGACUCAGCACGACGGGCCGCGGAGGCGCUGAGGGGAGCCCCGGGAAGGCAAGGCACUGUUUCCCUUGAAAACUGAGAUAAUGGAACAUUAACUGAAAGAUAAAUCGUAACGUGUGAUGAUGGCAUAGAAGCAGUGUCUCAAGAUACAAGUGGUAAUGCAGUUACUUCUGUGUGUUUUCUAAAAGUGCUUAACCUAGAAUUCAUCACAGGAGCCCCUGACAGUUACGUUAUGGUGAUAAGGGACAUAUCAGAGGGCAAGAGUUGGUGAUUCAGCUCAACAAGAAGAAAUGUGAAAUGAAACUAACAGGCCACAAGUUCAUAGUCUGCUAAAUGCUCAUACCAAGCUUUAUGGGAUGUUAUGAUUCCACAGGACAACCUGACUAAUCUUAGUAGCAUUAUAGAGAAGAGACUGAACUGGGAAGCCUAUGUAGGCAGAAAAGAAAAUGGAGAGAGCUUUCAACCCAAAGGAAAUGACACAGACAGAGGGUCUAAUUUUUAUGCAGAGCCAAAGAAGGAGCUAGAUUUGCUGCUGUGUACAGUUUGAUGGGUCUGUAAGUUUGCUUAUUCAUUACUGUUCCUUGACAUGAAGCUGUCUAAGGAGACUUGAACAACUUGGAAGCCUGGAGCUGUCCUGGACAAGAACUCAUCCACCAUGACAUCCUUGUGACUUUAAAAGCUGUGAAGCUGCAUACUGGCACAGGUGCUGGUGUGACCAUACAAUGUGCUAGUUCCUACCCUCUCUACUGUUACCAGCAUUUCCACUGACAGAAAGAGAGUCUGUACAGAGCCAGGUUGCCCCCUUCCUAAAGCUUUUCUGGCACUCUUUAAGCACACUAAAUAAGCUUUCAGAAAGCUCGUCUCUUACAUGAGCUACACCAUCCACUUUUAUAUCCAGGUGGAGUCAUGAGCCACCUGCAUCUCACAGGGACUGAAUCACCAGCUCUUGCCCUGUGAAGACAGUGCAUCAUUAUCCUGACACAGCUCAGAUAGCUAUUUGAAAAGUUAUUUAGUGCUAUGUCACUUUGGGCUUCCAGGUCAUUCUCUUGCAGAUGCAAAUAUCAGAUUUCUUUCCAUUCACAAUAAAAUAAGAUAUAUUUUGUUCCAACUGUCAACCUCACCCUCAGCUCUUGGGAUUCUUUCUCCUUCAUCAAUGAUUAAGAUUCUCCUGAGUUACGCUUGCACAAACCUUUUGCCUUCAAAGCAUCUUACUGACAGCUGUAUGUCCCAAAUAGCCUUUAGAAGUUUGUGACAGGUGAUCUCAUGGACACAGUAAAUGUUAAGGAUGCUGCUGAGUAAAUAGCUGAAGAUGAAGCAAUGAAGGUCUCUGGAAAAAAAAUUAAGCAUGUUAAUAUGAAUUAAGUAAGAAAAUUCAAAUGUCAAAUCUCAAAUGUUAAUAUUAGGCUUACUUUAUAGAGCAUAAAUGUGGUUUAGAAGCGCACUAACUAAUAAAACCCUUGCCAUACAUCAAGUAAUAGAGAAACAAGGUAUAAAUAACACAAAGGCUUUGAACAGUAAAUGUCUGAAUUUUCAGGUGAUGACAAAAAAAGCGUGUACACAGAUACUACAACAGCAAAAAGCAUGAGUUGGACUGGAGCAGCCAGAAAAACACUUCUGUCUUAUGUGAAGGCUCAUUUACAGUUUAGCCUCUAAAAUGUGAGGGAGAUUAAAUGUCAGAUUAUUGUCAUACAAAAAUAAAUUACCUUCAAAAACUGUACUAAAGUCCUAUUACCUUAUCUGGCUAGCUGUAACCUAAACAUGAAUUAAAACCUUUACACUUUACACUCCAAAACCUGUUUAGUUGUAUUUAAAAGAAAAAGUAAAAUAACAACUACAAAAUAAGGAUGUUGUAGCAGAUGUAACAGUAACUAAUAAUUCACAUCUUCAAAGACACUUCUGAACCAUUCCUUUUAAAAGUCCAUGGACACUUCAAGCUAUGGAAAGUGCAGCAGAUGUCACGCAGGGACAGAACAGCCCACUGACGAGCGUAGUUAAAUGAUCCAUUCCCUGGCUGGGCAAAAAGAGGCAGAAUUCACUAGCUGGUUUACAAAACAGACAAAGAGAGAGUGGUUAAUUUGUUUGGCUCAAGAAUGGAGUCUACCUGAAAGAAUUACUGCAAAUUACUGCAAAAACAUCUGACAAAGGAGCUCCUUCCUCUAUGUUCUCAGCCCAAUGGUGUUAUGUUGUCCUAUGAUUUGACUUGCACUAGCAUGAACUGGGCAGCAGGGGCUUGGUGCCAACGAAAUAGUGCUCAGUGCUGAUAGCCUGAGUAUAUUGGGCAGUCUGUGGAGAGAAACGGGGAAAGAGCUCUUAAAGAAACACUGCUAUGGAUUCUUCUGGAUUUUUACCCAAAUCAAAUUAAUAAAGAUUGAUUUCUGUGUG
This is a long non-coding RNA of Pogoniulus pusillus (Red-fronted tinkerbird), 2866 nucleotides long. RefSeq lists it as uncharacterized. The record is from RefSeq and is a predicted model, not a curated record. The transcript is spliced from 7 exons. NCBI's taxonomy places the organism in Eukaryota, Metazoa, Chordata, Aves, Piciformes, Lybiidae.